UACGUAGGGGGCAAGCGUUGUCCGGAAUUAUUGGGCGUAAAGAGCGUGUAGGCGGUCCGGUAAGUCAGCUGUGAAAGUCAAGGGCUCAACCCUUGAAUGCCGGUUGAUACUGUCGGGCUAGAGUCCGGAAGAGGAGAGUGGAAUUCCUGGUGUAGCGGUGAAAUGCGCAGAUAUCAGGAAGAACACCCGUGGCGAAGGCGGCUCUCUGGGACGGUACUGACGCUGAGACGCGAAAGCGUGGGGAGCGAACAGG
This 253-nucleotide ribosomal RNA is filed under the name uncultured bacterium. Its description in RNAcentral is "partial 16S ribosomal RNA". It matches the Rfam family "Bacterial small subunit ribosomal RNA", at positions 524 to 776 of the family's 1533-position model. The record is from RNAcentral.